This 403-nucleotide ribosomal RNA is filed under the name Verrucomicrobiota bacterium. Its description in RNAcentral is "Verrucomicrobia bacterium partial 16S ribosomal RNA". It matches the Rfam family "Bacterial small subunit ribosomal RNA", at positions 355 to 776 of the family's 1533-position model. Lineage: Bacteria; Pseudomonadati; Verrucomicrobiota. The record is from RNAcentral.
UGGGGAAUAUUGCGCAAUGGGGGCAACCCUGACGCAGCAACGCCGCGUGCGGGACGACGGCCUUCGGGUUGUAAACCGCUUUCAGCAGGGAAGAUAGUGACGGUACCUGCACAAGAAGCCCCGGCUAACUACGUGCCAGCAGCCGCGGUAAUACGUAGGGGGCGAGCGUUAUCCGGAUUCAUUGGGCGUAAAGCGCGCGCAGGCGGCUCUUCAAGCGGAACCUCUAACCCCAGGGCUCAACCUCGGGCCGGGUUCCGAACUGGAGGGCUCGAGUGCGGUAGAGGCAGGCGGAAUUCCCGGUGUAGCGGUGGAAUGCGCAGAUAUCGGGAAGAACACCGAUGGCGAAGGCAGCCUGCUGGGCCGGCACUGACGCUGAGGCGCGAAAGCUAGGGGAGCGAACAGG